Long non-coding RNA from Bemisia tabaci, 9561 nucleotides. RefSeq lists it as uncharacterized. The record is from RefSeq and is a predicted model, not a curated record. Lineage: Eukaryota; Metazoa; Arthropoda; Insecta; Hemiptera; Aleyrodidae.
AAUAGUCUGAAGCAACAUUAAAGCCAUGAUUCGUAGUUUUUAAUAUUGUUUCUGACCUCCUCGAUAAGUAACCAGAAUAAUUUUUACGGGUUCUAAUAUUCACAAAAUCCAAACAACGCUUUAUACUUUUCAAAGUGGUUAAUGGCAUCUUUUCUCUUUUACAAGGCUUGGUUUGCAUGCAUCCCCAUAAGUUAUGAGCAUUCAAACUUAAAAAAUAUUACUCUGACUGGUUUUUUUUGGAUUUCAUCUGUCAGACUAUGCAAAAAAAUGAAGGAGGCAUCAAACUAAAUCAUAGACUGAUCGAAUUUCAAUAUUUGCUUCUGCCAUCAUUACAAUAAUCAUUUCAGCAGUACACGGACCAGAUGAGCACUGCUUGAAUUUGAGAGGUGUGCUGCUUGAGCAGGUAUGAUAAAAAUUUCUGGGAGCUGGAUGGAAGAAAAUGACUUUUUUGGUUACAUUAUUGUCAAGGGUACAUUCCUUCGGUCAAAACAGUUAACACUGAAGAACCAUCACGUAAUUAAGAUUUCAGAUAUUGUGCAUUAAUUUAGCUCAGGUUAAAAAAGCAAGACUCAUCUAAAUUAUUACUCAGCAUUUAUGUAAGAACUAAUAUUCCUCAAUUUCGUUUCUUGAUUGCAACAGGAUCAAUGUAAAAAAGAAUUCAUGAGAGUCAUUAUUAAUAGAGGCAGCCUCCGGCAAUGAGUAAUGCAUUUCACUAUUGUUUUAUCAAGUUUAUCAUUUUGGGAGAAAAGUCCCAUAGCAAAAAUAGUUUUAGGUAGGUAGUGGGAUAGUUUUGAGGAUAGUGAAACAAUUUUAAUUAACUAAUUAUCAUACAGUUUCCAUGACAAUGUUUAACCAUGAAGACUAAGUGAAAUGAAAUAAAUGAUGAAAUGGAUUAUGGUAGUUAUGAUGAAUGGUUGAACAGAGCUAUUGAAGCCUUAGCAGCAUUGAGAAAUCUAUCGUUGACCGGACCCAGUCUAUUCAUCAGACUUCAUUCCAUGGUAUUCAAUUUUAAUGUGAUAUUUAGGGACAAGUCUGAUGAAUAUAGUAUCAUCUUAUUGCAAGAUUUAUCUAGAAAACACAACAUUAUACUGUAUCGUUGUUUUUCAAGACCAGACGUGUUAUACAUCGUGUCUCAAAUCAGAGACCUGUACAUUAAAACGAAAGAUGUUCAAAUGAAAAGAACUAUAGACAUCGUGAUGCGCACAGCUGAUGGAGAUAAAAUUUUAAAAUUAUCACUUAUCUUAGAGGAAUUUAUGAAAAACAAUAACUACGCUUAUGGCAUGUCCAUUGCGGACGUAGAUUUCAUUUUAAGUACGUACCGCAAUAAGACGGAGCUUACUCGCAUCUUCAAUGAAAUGGAUGUAGCAGACCAUUCCAUUGAACAUCACAAGACUGUUUUAGCAAGAUUAUAUUAUAAAGUUUUAGAUGACUUUCCAAAGCUGUCGAAAAUAUACAGUAAAUCUAUAGGAAAAGAAGAUCCCGAUGCCACUGCUAAAACCUUAGCCGAUCUUCCACAAGAAUUACGAAAUGAAAUUUUUUCCUAUUUGUAUUUGGAAAAUAUAUCAUACAAAUAAUUAAAUUGCAGUAAGAACUCGGAACCACCAAUGCCUCAAAACAAUAGAGAUUUUCUCGAGCUAUUAUUUUUAGACUCUUCAUGUUUGCAAUGAUAUGAUGUACACCCAAACUUAGUUUAUAAUGGUUCAUAUGAAUUGUUUUAUUAAUUUUGGUUAAAUUUUCCAAAUAAGAAUUGAAAACAAUUUCAGUAUCGCCAACAAUUCAUGAAACAUGACGUGUAACGAUUGUCCUAUUUUUACCAGAAGAAGCCAUUAUGUGCAAUCCGAAGAUGAUCUUGUAUGCUCUGCCUUGUAGAAAAGAAAUGCUAUAUUCAUUGUAUUUACCUUUCCUGACUUAGAAAGUCAGUUAAAUCAAGUAGAUUUCUCAUUCGAAGGCAACAUUGCUUGUAUUGUAACAUUACUUAUCAGCUCAGGAGAUUAUCUCAAACUAUUAAUAUAUAAUAUUGGUCCUUGAUUCUUUACCAAUUGUCAUUCUGUGUCAAGUUAGGCUCCUGUGUAAGGUUCAAUAAUUGUUUUUCUUAAGCUUUUCUUUCUUGGUAUACAUGUCAUGCUGAAAUACCAGGAAAAUCAAAUGCCUGUUGGUAUUGAAGGAAUAACCUCAAAUACAGAAGUGUCAGCAGAUUCAGUUGUAAUGUAUGUCAUUGAAAAAAUGGCCAUAGGUAAAAAAGAAAAAAAAGUUAUGUGUUUAAUGUAAAAUUUACCAUGUCUAGUCGAACCUUUACAUACAAGAACCAUAAAAAAUUUAAAGAAAGAAAGAGACAGGUUCGUUUUACCAUGUUUUAUUAGUAGUGUUAAUGGAGUUAUGUGUUUUCAACAAUCAACUUCGAAUUUUUGUCAACUUACUAUUCAUGCAUUUACAUUGAAGAGAUCGGACUGUGGGUUGGACCUUAAGUGAUUUUUUUUUUUUUCUUUCUUUAAAAAAUAACACAUAAGAAUGGCAGCAUAGGUAUCAUAUUUUAAAAUGUUGGCAAAUCACAAAUUUAAUUAGUUUGUAAGGUUUAAAUCAGCCAUGUUCCUAUAUUUUUUUCUCCUAUUUUCGUUUAUUGUUCAACUACUUUUAGAGAUUCCAAUUCUCAAAUUUUCAUGCACGCACUCAUUUGUUGCUAAAUUUUCAGAUCCUAGCUUUAACAUUCAUACAUUUGUUUGUCUAGUUUUCCGUGUUGACCCAAAAAAUUUACGGUAAAAACUAUAAAAAUUAUAUUAUUUUAAUACCUAAUUUAUUUUCAUGUUCAAAGUCAAAUUAGUAGCGUUCAAAUACUCAUAUGGUGAAGGUCUGUCCGUGGCUUGGUUCAUACAUGGGCUCAAAAUUAUACCCUAAUCUUCACACUUUUGAGCAUGGAGUUACCUUACUUCAGCCUCUGCAUUCGAAUUGGAUUUUCUUUCAACGCUCUGUAUUACAAGAUUUUUAUUGGAUGCCAGCUUGAAAAGAGGCAGGACUUAAUAGCAUCCCUGUUUACUGUUCAGCCAGAAUGUGGAUGAAGAUCUUUCUACGAUGGGAGGUAAUCAUUGGAAACUUAAAUGAGGUUCAAGCCUUUUCCCGCCGUGAAUACUGGCCUUCAAUGCAGAGCCUGAUAUCUUGGUAUCGUAACAUAUAUUCUUAUGUUUCUAAAACUGAUUUUAUCAAUCCUAUUGCCUAAGUCUGAUAACAUUUUCUAUUUCAAACAGACAACAUCUGAUGUGACCAAACUAUACAUAUUGAAGAUAAAUAAUCAAUGAGUGAUGAAUAAGUCCUGUGAGGGUUAAUUUUGUCCCAUUGCAAAAGACUCGGUCCUUUGGUUUGGUUUGAAACCUGCACCUAGAUAUUUUUAGUCUUAAAUCAUUGUAACAAAGAAAGGGAAUGUCAUUAAUACAUUUAUAUUUGUAGUCAAACAUUUGAAAGCUCAAACUCACUAGUCUACGCCAAAUAAUUUUACGAGCUUCUAGACUGUGACCGAAGAUCGUCUGACACCACUUUUAUACAUAUAUGUAAAGUAUCUUUUGUUGCAAUCUAAAAGUAUUAUUUGGCGUGAACUCUAGCUACAAUAUUUGUCAAGCAAUCUUUUCGAGAGAGCCUUUUUGUCCUUCAUCAUUUUGAGAAUUUUUGGGCAAUUUUAAAUUAUCUAUGUGUGGUUGGCAGCCUUUGUCACCUGUCUUGGCGCCAGCCACCUCUCUUUCUGAUAGAUGUCAGGGCAGCUGAGGAAAAUCAGUCUGUGUCUGGACCACACAGGUCGCCCACCUGUGCUAUGUUCAUCACUAAAUAGGUUAAGGAUGACUGCCACUUGAACCGCUUUAUCCUGUUUCGCUAACUUGAUUGCGACGGAAUAAUGUUCAAGUCGAGAUUUGAAUCAUUUUUAAUAAGUUUCCAAAUGCUGAUCCAAUGGUAAGCUCGGAGAAGGUUUUACUUUUAGAUUUGAGGACAUACUGAUUACAAAAUGAAACCGGAUCACCAGAAUAAACUUAAUAUUGACAGUUUUUGCUUCUAGGCCUUCAGGCCACCAACAUAGUAAAAAAAAAUAAUAAUUUAAAAUCACACUUUAAAAGGAUUGUCAUGACACUGAAGUGACGAUGGUUUAAAACACAGUUAAAAAUUUAAUAUUGGCUUUAAGAGUUUGCGUGGUGCGGCGAUGUUGUACCUGGUGGUACCCGUUUGGCCCUGAGCUUCACGUACGAUUUCCAAACUUUCAUCUUUGCUGUCGUCGAGUUAAAUUAAUGCACAGCGGUGGAAAGACAAGAAAAGAGAAGAAGAGCUUUAGUAGGUGACAUGGCUUAAGCCUCUUACUUUUAUUAUGUAAUAAAACCUCAAAAAAACAAAAGACAGCUGGGAGCAACAGAUGCGCACGCAUGCUAAUAUGAAGUGCAAGGUUGACAAGUUUACAGCAUUAACAUUAGAUUGAAAAUAUUAUUAGGGGUGGAACACCAACACUUCCCCUCAAUCUAAUUGUUAAAAAAAUAUUAACAAUUCAAUUAACGACUAAAGUGACAAUUUAACUUGAAUGUUUCGACAAAAUAAUUGCAUGUUAUGCUUUAACAAGAAGGUUGAAAAAGAUUUCCCCUUGAUAUGCAAUUGUUUAAGUGAAACAUAAUGACCAGAAAAAUUUAAACAACAGAGAUAUUAUAGCAAAUAGCAAAAGAAAUUAGCGGAGACCAAUUUUUUGAGAACAGAAUUUCUGUUUGGGGGCUGGAACAGGCUUAGUUAGAAAAUCAGCAGGCAUAACUGAAGUAGGGAGAUAUUCUACAGUGAUAUCAUUAUUUUUAACAUCAUUUCGUAAGAACCAGUAACGCACAUCUAUGUGUUUUAUUCUAUUUUGUUGAACAGGGUUUUCUGCUAUUCUCUUUGCAUUUUGAUUAUCAGUGAAAAUAAGUGCAGAAUCUUUUCUGUUAAUUAACUCAUGAAGGAGAAAUUUUAAAUGAAUUGCCUCUUUAGCAGCUAAAGUUAUUGCAAUGUAUUCAGCUUCUGUACUUGAGAGUGAUGUGGUUUUCUGUUUUUGACAUUCCCACGAAAUUGCACAGUCGCUAUAAGUGAAAACAUUACCAGAGAAGGAUUUCCUUUGAAGACAAUUAUUGGCCCAAUCAGAGUCUGAGUAACCAAUAAGAUCAUAAUCUGACUUUUUAUAAGUUAAAGACAGAUUAGAAGUACCUUUUAAGUAUCUUAAAAUACGUUGAGCACAAGUCCAGUGUUGUUGCGUUGGUUUUCUGUUAAAUUGUAAGCCAGUUUCAACUCCUCUUAUUGAUACAAAAUUUGACGAAGAUAUUCCGGUACGCCCAGAUCUAGAGAAACCAUAUCAACAGUUGAUAGGUAGUUUACUUUACUUAGCUAUUACCUCACGUCCAGAUAUUCUUCAUCCUGUUACGUUCUUAAGCUAAUUUAACUCUACGACAUUUGCAGAUUUUUUUGCUCAUUUUAUGUAGGAAAUGAUAAAAUGUUUCCACCUCAUUUUGAUCUCUGGAAUCAAAAAAGAAAUCUAUUAAAUAAUUUAUUGUCUUUCGGGCGCAUAAACUUAUCGAAAGCUGCUAUUAUUUCAUCAGGAUCAGCAAGAUCUUAAAACCCAAAGUGUAAAUUGCGUCUUGGGCUUCAUUGCCAAUUACAUUUAAUAGCUGCGCAGCAUGCACAUUAGGUUUAGAUUUACUUUGGCGGGUAGCCAAAAUGAACGUAUUGGAGUUUCUUAUAAACUUUGUCCAUUGAUUGGUCAGGAAAGGUAACUGCAAGUCCACACAGGUUUCGGCAGGUUGAAUUGGCUGGAAGCGGAUGCUAUUACUCACUUGGAAAGUGAAAGCUGAGAUUUACAUUACAUACAGUUAGUUGAAAGGAAGAAUUAAAUUAGUAUUUUCUUCGUCACCAUGUUGGAUGCUGUCGAAAUGAUUACUCUAAGUGAAGGGAAAAAGAAUAAGCUUUAUUAAACUGAAGUAUCACAAAAGACAUCCGCAAAAUCUUUCGUCUAAGAACAUAGAAUGAACAAUGAAUGUAGGCUGGACACACAGGCACAUGUGUUGCAGCUGCCAACCGGUAGCAGCAUUUUGUGGAAACCCCUGCAACAGGUGGUGGUAGAUAUUAUUUGAUGCCUCACGGAGGCAGUUUGGUGGAGUUGAUAACAGGGCAGGUGACAGGAGGGUUUUCAGGAAGGGACUCAGUUUUUGAGCAAGCUCCUUCAAGUCCUUGUCAUUUGACAGUCCAAUAGUUCUGAACUCAUGGGUCCGGAUCCUGCUCUCAGGGGCUCACCCCCAUAUGAACCAGCUUGUGUAAACUUCCUUGUUCAAUCUAAGUAAUGAUCUAAUGAAGUAACAUUUUUAUUGCUCCAUCAUAGAAAUAACCUGAAUGUGGUAGUUCUGUUUCUACUUGAUGAUAGGACCCUUAAAAUCCCACUUUGGACAUCCACUGGUAAUACUCAAAAGUUGUUGAUUUGGUGCUUUGAUAAAAGGAUUGUUACAAUCCCUGUCAGGCCAUCCACUGGUAAUAGUCAUAAGUUGUUGGUUCAGCCGUUAAUUGAGUCUGUCGUUCCAUCAUCCCAAAAGGAAAGAUGAGGAUAAUUAUCAUGACCCGUAACGUCAGUUUGCGGGGACAGUGAAGGAACAAAGAAUGUUAAAGAAAGAGACUACCGAAUCUGAGGGAGAAGUGAUUUAUCGAAAAGAAUGAACACAACUGAGCUCCUUACGGGAGCUCUAUCAUUGCCGGCGCCAGGUGGCCAGAAAUACAUAGAACGUCAGUGAAGGGGAGCGCUCCUUCCGACGUAGCCCAAUGAGUCACCUCACUACGUCACGCCGGAUAUGACCUGCUCCCACACUGACGAAUUGCGUGUGGGUCCCCGAAAAACAAAAACUGAAAUGUGGGGGUGAAAUGACCGGGAGGGUAAUGAAAAAGGAGACUUUAGCGGUGUCUGAGGGACACCGCUGACGAGAAAGGAGGGGUGGGGGGUAUGAUGUCUUCUAUCCCUCUGGCUUAGUGAAUUUGAAGUCUUCCCAGGCUGCUUGCUGUCCCAGAGAGUUCUUUUGUCCCAGUUGGGGUGGCUGCAGGAAUUGUCUAGGCUGGAUGUCAGGCUAGGUGGUGAGGGUCUGUAUAUCCAUGGUAACGAUCGACUUUUUGCAAUUUGAGACGGAUUAACGCGUCAGCUUAGAACACCUCGAGAGUUCGGUGUUGCAGGGGCGGAGCGGAGUAACCUAGCAAAAAAAAAUUAUUUUUGUUAGGGAAAGAAACACUCACGUCCAAUUGCCUCGUCGCCAAUUAUUAUGGCCCGUAACGUCAGUUUGCAGGGACAGUGAAGGAACAAAGAAUGCUAAGGAAAGAGACUACCGAAUCUGAGGGAGAAGUGAUCUAUUGAAAAGAAUGAACACAACUGAGCUCCUUACGGGAGCUCUAUUAUUACCGGUGCCAGGCGGCCGGAAAUACAUAGAACGUCAGUGAAGGGGAGCGCUCCCCCCGACGUAGUGCAAUGAGUCACCUCACUACGUCACGCUGGAUAUGACAAUAAUGUUAAAAUAUAUUCUAUAUUUUAUUCUUUGCCUCACACUGUGCUGAUCAUUGACAUUCAUCACAUGAAAGCAGCAUAAUAUGAGUGCUUAAAUGUGCCUCUUUGAGGUCCACUGAUAAUAUACCUCUUAGAAUCUUAAAUUGCUUAAAAUUAACACCUCCAGCUCGAUGAGUACUCGAUACUCGAUGAGUUAAUAGCUAAUACACGAUUCUUUGACCAACAAAGGAGUGUCCUAAUUGGACUGCAUUUUGCAAUUUAGAACUAUAAACUCUGGCCCGGUUUAAAAACAAGGUAUGUGCCACUAGUUUCCCUAUGCACAUAAGUGGUUUUUUAGAUGAGCCAGAAUUCAUAGUUCCAAAUUGCAAAAUGCAGUCCAAUUAGUUAACCUCAGCUAUCUCUCUGUUAAUUGAAAAUCCAUGUUUGCUAUCUGCGUUGCCAGGGAAAAGAAUAAAAAUGAGCCUUAAAUUGCUGAGCAAUUCCUUGGAACCUUCAAAAUCUGUAAUGACAGUCCUCCAAAAAGGACCAAGUCAAUCAUUUCUUCGGCUAAAAAUUGCCAUUUUUUCUUCAACUGUCUUUUGAGAGCACAGUUUGUAGAAGUCACUCUUGACUUCAUCCACAGCAACUCAUCAACAAAUUUCUCAAGACAAGAUUACAGAUGCGACUCAUGGAAAUGAGUUUUCUUUCUUUAACAAUUGCUGAUCAACAUAGAGUUACGGAAUGUCAUAGCUCUGGUGAUUGAAUAUUUCGGUGGAGACUUUUCCAAAAUUUUAGUGAUAGCGUGUUCUAGACACUGAGGACGAUCUUUUCAAAAAACAAGGAUUUCUUUAGUUUUAUCCUGCAAAAUCUUUCUUUUUUCUCAGAAGGCUUCAGUUACAAGAUGCCUUAAAUAAAUAUUUUGGCAAGUUAGCAAAUCAUCAGACAUAUUAACAUCAAUUCUUGUACUUAAGUUUUUUGAUCCCAAGGGUUUUUUUUUUUUUUUUUUCACAAUUUUGGUACCUAUGUUAUUAACACUGCUAGAAGUUGAAACAGGUCAUCGUACAAAAAAAAAGGGCAAGUCUUCUCAGCCUAAUAUGUAACAUGCAAUGGUUUAAACUCUUUGGCGAUACUAAUAAAGCAGGCAACUUUAAUCUUAAGCAAUGGAUCACUCAGAUGAAUUUUUACCUUUCAAUAUGAUUUUGAUUUGGUUUCUUGAGGAAAUCCAUUUCCAGUAAUCCUUUGAUGUAAGAUUUUAAGUAAGUGUCGCAGAAUUGAAGGAGCUCACUCUGCCACCAGUUUAUUGUCUAGCCACCUUGUGCCAUAGAAUUUUAUGGGGAAAUCAUAGGAGCCCCUGUAUUUUAAAUAAUCGGCUUUUUUGCUGAUGAUUCUCUAAAAUGGUCAUACAAUGACCGCAUAUAACCCGCUAGACCCAAUUUUGUGGACUCAAACAUGCGGACUACAUUUUCUGAAGUUGAUUAACACGAGUCGGUCUUGUUCCAUCAUCUUAAACUGUUAGCAUCCUACUCUUUAAUGAAAUGAAUUAACGAAUCUGCCAAUGAUUGCUAACUUUAAGGUCUUUCACUCGCACAUUGUUUUGUUUCACAAGCCUGUAUGUAAAUUGCAGUGCUAUCUAUGUUCUGAAUAUACCGACAUAAAAAUAUCAUCAGUCCUAGUAGUAUGUGAGUCAAAGUGUAAUGAGCUAUUUGAUAUGAAUUUUCGCUUAAAACUUGUGAUCAGGAUACUUCCAAAUUUUCAUUAUCAACCAGUAGAAAUUUCGCUAACAGUCUCCAGAGCUAGGCAAAGAUAACCACCCAGUUAAUUAACCAGAAGGGUAAUUUUUUUUUUCUCCAGUUAGAUGCAUGAAUGUCAAGACUUAUGACUAACUGGAUACCCCCUAAUUGGAAUACAGUUUUUUUUUCUAAAUUCUUACCGGAGUAUUAUUAUUUUAGGAAUGCAGUUUUUAUUUCACAAGUACCUAUCUAAUCUUAGUGAAAUAGGUUGACUUAAAAUUAGUCAAAGUUUUAUCAAUAUUGAUCAUCACUGUGUCUUUGAAUAAAUUUAUAUUUGUU